AGUUUUCCGCCGUUAGAUCUACCUCUUUGACCAUUUUCACUAUCAUCCUAAUCGCAUAUUUCUUCAUCCAAGGACCGAAAACCUAAUAGCACCAAUGACUUAGUAUUAUUAAUAGUAUAAUAGCCUAGUUCUAUAUAUAUAGAGAGUUCGGCUACUAUGCUAGCGAUAGUACCAAGCACUUUUUUCAUAUACUUUACAAAAGUAUGAAAUUUGAUUUCUAGAUGCUUCAAGUAGUAUAGAUCAUGUUCAACGGUGUCGAUCGUCGAUUUGGAGGCUCGAUCAUCGAAAACAAAUCGGUCGCAAUGGAAUCCGUUUGCCAUCGAUAGUAUUCCAGCUCAAUUCUCUCUCUCUAUAUAUAUACAUACAUAUAUAAAGAUUUGGUUGACGGCUUCUCUAGUUGUCAAAGUUAAAUUAAUUAGUGUUGUAUUAUAGCUCGCUCUUCUUGUAUGAUCAAAUUGUAUGGCAGCUUAUUUACAAAUAAUUGCUAUUAGAGUUGCUUUCCUUUUCGUUCUUUUUUUUUUGUUGUUGUUGAAAUUCUUAGAAUGAGCUUAGAAUGAGCUAGCGAUUUUGGAGUUCAUACAUAUCUAUGUGGAGACCAUGGAUCGACAUUACAGAAAUGUGAUGCAUUUCAUGCUGGAGGAGAUGGUGAUGAAUGGCUGCAUCUUCGAAACAAUGAUAUUGGAGGAUCACCAGGAGGUAGAUAUUUAGGCCAGUACAGAGGCCACCCCUCGCGUAUCAGCCACGUGGUUACGUCGAGAGAGUAUUGAGAUCACAUUAUACGAUUAGACGUGUCCUGUCAGAUAUUCCAGGAGGUGGAGUAUUAGAUGCCCUAUCACACGUUGCCGAUCGGAUGGAAGCAGUUUUGGAGACUUUAUCUACGCUUCCACACACUGUACAUCCACGACCGGCAGACUAUGAUGGACCAUCGACGUCGGGACAUGUACCAGUAUAUAGUCCACCGAGGCAUCAUCACCGAUAGAGGAGCCACCUUAUGUUAUGGACACGGUAUCAACACCAGUAUCAGAGGAUCCACGAUCCACCUCGGCCAGUUGAUAUUGUUUAUCAUAAGCGCCGACGACAGAUGCACUCUCUCCAUACAGAUCAACCCUCCUCUUCAGCUUCUUCUGCUAUAAUUGAGCACGAGAUCGGACGAGUGAUUGAGACGCAGGACACUCAGCAGGUUAUUGAGGGUAGUCGAAGGUGUUAGAGCCUUUUGAUGAGCAUGAUGUUGAUCGUGAUCACGGACGUGGUAGACGACGUGGUUGAUGAGCAUGAUGUUGAUCGUGAUCACGGACAUGAUAUUAUAUUUCUAUAUUAUUAAAAAACAUGUUUUAAUUUUUGAUAUUCUGUUGUGAUGAUCUGGUAUUGAUACUUUAUUGAUAUUCUGUUGGAUUUGUUGUUGUAUUGUUAAUGUUGAAUUACUUGUAUUGUUGUAUUGAA
This is a long non-coding RNA of Ananas comosus (pineapple), 1440 nucleotides long. RefSeq lists it as uncharacterized. The transcript has 4 exons. The record is from RefSeq and is a predicted model, not a curated record. Lineage: Eukaryota; Viridiplantae; Streptophyta; Magnoliopsida; Poales; Bromeliaceae.